This 492-nucleotide ribosomal RNA is filed under the name uncultured bacterium. RNAcentral's name for it is "partial 16S ribosomal RNA". It matches the Rfam family "Bacterial small subunit ribosomal RNA", at positions 29 to 507 of the family's 1533-position model. The record is from RNAcentral.
AGUGAACGCUGGCGGUAGGCCUAACACAUGCAAGUCGAACGGCAGCACAGUAAGAUCUUGCUCUUACGGGUGGCGAGUGGCGGACGGGUGAGGAAUACAUCGGAAUCUACUUUUUCUUGGGUGGUAACGUAAGGAAACUUACGCUAAUACCUCAUACUACCUACGGGUGAAAUCAGAGGAUCUUCGGACCUUUCGCGUUUGUAUGAGCCGAUGUCGCAUUAGCUAGUUGGCUGGGUAAAGGCCCACCAAGGCGACGAUCCGUAGCUGGUCUGAGAGGAUGAUCAGCCACACUGGAACUGAGACACGGUCCAGACUCCUACGGGAGGCAGCAGUGGGGAAUCUUGGACAAUGGGCGCAAGCCUGAUCCAGCAACACCGCGUGAGUGAAGAAGGUCUUCGGGUCGUAAAGCCCUUUUGUUGGGAAAGAAAAGAAGCAGAUUAAUCCCCCGAUGUUUUGACGGUACCCAAAGAAUAAGCCACGGCUAACUUCGUG